ACUGACUUCGCCCUCGCUGCGUAAGCGAGCCUGAAGUCCGUCAGACCGUAGGCGUUCCCGCUACGGACCCUGGCGUCAUCUAGGGAACUUGCUGCGUGACGGCGUCUGGACGUCACGUGGGACUCUUCCCAGGCUGGGCUCGUCGACUUGGGUGUCUGUGACAAAGGUCGGAGCCGAGCAGAACGUCUGCACAGACUGCACCCGGAGAAGGCGCAGAGACCCAGCGAUGGACGGGGGUUCGAUUCCCCCCAUCUCCACCA
Molecule: transfer-messenger RNA, 260 nt
Filed under: Microbacterium sp.
Lineage: Bacteria; Bacillati; Actinomycetota; Actinomycetes; Micrococcales; Microbacteriaceae
Description: partial transfer-messenger RNA
Rfam family: transfer-messenger RNA
About the family: Bacterial tmRNA, also known as 10Sa RNA or SsrA, is named for its dual tRNA and mRNA-like properties.
Source: RNAcentral